This 551-nucleotide ribosomal RNA is filed under the name Notophysis forcipata. RNAcentral's name for it is "partial 16S ribosomal RNA". Lineage: Eukaryota; Metazoa; Arthropoda; Insecta; Coleoptera; Cerambycidae. The record is from RNAcentral.
UAAAAUAUUAAUAUGAAUUUAUUUAUCCCGAAUUUAGAAGAGCUAUUUAUUAAUUUUUUUAUUGUUGCAUAAAUAUUGUAAAUUAAUAAAUUGUAAUGAAAUAUUAUUCGUUUCUAAAUAUAUCUGGUUUUCCAAGAAAUAAAUUUAAUUUACUUGGUUUUUUAUUAAUUUAUUUUUUAAGUAAUUUUUUAUUAAUAUCAGGAAAUGUCUUGAGGGAUGAGCUUUGAGUCAUAAUUUUAAAAAUUUAUUUUGUUAUUAAUGGUAAGUAGGAUUAGAAGUUUCUAUUUUUAUAAGAAUGUUAUAAUUUACCGUUAUUUUUAUUUUUAUUUUUAUUUUAUUUUAAGUUUUUUAUUGGAAUUUAAUUUUGAAUUUUGUAUUUUUAAUAAAAAUGAUUAAAUUAGUAUAAUUUUUUGUAAUUUUAUAAUUAUUUUUUAAGGUUAAUAAAAGGAAUUCGGCAAAUAUUUCUUCACCUGUUUAUUAAAAACAUGGCCUUUUGAUUAUGAUUUAAGGUCUAGCCUGCCCGCUGAAGAUUUAAAUGGCCGCGGUAUCCU